AAUCCUCCUCUUCUCCGGCGAGCCAGAGGGGCGAGAGCGGCGGCGGGGUCGUAGGCGGCGGUGUGUGGCGAUCCGGCGAAGGGAAUCUCGCACGGCGGCGCGGCUGCUGAGGGGGAACACCCUAAUCCCCUUCUCUCCCCGACCCCUCUCCCGGCGACGCGAGUGAGUGGCUGGCGGCAAGCGCCGAGCGGCUCCAGCUUCACUGGCUGGGGGGCGCACCCGAAGACGGCGCCAAGCCAUCGGCGGUCCGGCAAAGCACCGAGCCGACGGGGGAGGGGGGGAGGUGCCAAAAGUGGCAGCCCAAGCCGAUGCUUCCCGUCUCCGGUGAGGCGGCGACGGUGGGGAAGCUCCAAGACGGCGCGAGCGGUGGUGAACCGGCGCGACCCCGAGGACGCCGGAGAGCUUCAAGUCUGGUAAGUUUCAGAAACCCGAAGCUCAAAUUUCUUGAUUCGGGUUUUGGGGCUUAUUAGGGUUCUCCAGCCGAAUUAGGGUUCUUCAAUUUGGGAAUUUAUUCGAAUUAGGGUUUCUGAGGUGUGGAUUUUUGGAAUUUCAAUCUUGUUUAUCCCAAUCUCCUUUUUUCUGAGUUGAACAGAUUGGGGAAAAUUUUGGAAAGUUCAAUCUAGUAUUUUGUUGGGGGGUGGGGGGUUGGGGCAUACCACCUAGUACUAGGUAGGAACUGUAACAUAUGUUUCAGCCUGGUUUGCCAGACAGAACAACAAAAACUUAUAUUAGGAAAUCAAUAGUUGUAGUGUACAAAAAAAAAGUUAUAACUCAAGUUGCAUUGCACAAAUUUAUAAUUGAAGUUGCACAUGAUUUUAAAAUGGCAACUACAACAAUUAGGGAAUGCAACUUUGCUAUAUAUGAGGCAACUAUUAGUCCCAUACUUUAAAAAUCACAAAAUAAUAAGGAUUGCUUUUGGGCUGCAGGGUGCAAAUAGCUGAAACGCACAAGAAAGAAUCCCAUUUGUUGGAAUGGAUUAGGUAAUGUGAAAAACUAAGAAAAACCCGAUCACCGCUACACAAAUAGAAAAACAAAGAUGUGUGUUUUUAUUAUGCUAGCUCUAGAUUUUCAAUGUUUACAUCACAAGCAAUCCCGUACUGAGCCAAUACUGCAACUAACAUAUAAAUGCACUUAAUCGAAAAGAAAAACAUGUUCUCUGAACCGCACAGAAUUCAACGCAUACUGAGGGUUAGAUCGCAUACACAGAAUCACAGAUACACAUGGACUUUCCUUAUCAAUUUGUCUAGUCCUAGCAUUUUUUUCAGGCACACGGCCUAGUAACACUUGCUACAUACUCACGUAUCAUAAUUUUCCAGUACAAGCCAUUUCAUGCCAUUGCAAAUCGGAUGGAAGCAACAGCAAGAGAGGCAAAGUGAUAAAAAAAAUAAUAGUGUCCUACUCUUCCAAAUUCAUAAAAGCAUGGUCUAUAUAAGCAUAUAAAUACAUCUAGAUUGAUUGAGUUAAAUAAAAAACAAAGUAACAAUAAGUUGCACUUUCCAUAUGAUGCAAGUAUAGGUGGCUAACAGUAAAAAAAAAAAGGAUACAUUCAACAAAACCUUUAUUAUCUUUUUGUACACAUGUUUGUUGUCCCUUCUUCCUUUUUAUGGACUUCCUGAUAUGAAGAAUUGGAAAGGAAAAUUACCAUUGUUCUGAAUCCGCAAAGAGAAGUUCAGAACCAACAGAUCCAUCAUCCUACAAAUGCAAAUUCAAAUACAAAUGCUGUAUUAGCUUAGAUGGGUGAGAUCACAUACUUAUCAUAGUAAACCUAUUCUUUCUCCUGUCAAGACGUGGCUUCUUCCUUGCUGCUACAGGGCAACAGCAAAUCAUUACGUUCGUUCCCAUCCAUCUGCUGAGUGGCGUCUCCUCAUAUAUCCGGGCCAUCCGUUUGUUUAUUAAUAUGUCCAGUACUAACUUCUUUUAGGCAAGCAUAAUAAAACCUACUAGCACUUGCAAUAUAUCACCAGCUUGAUUCCCAGUAUUAGUUGGUUCAUGCCAUUGCAUAUUGGAUAAAAGCUGCAUAUACAGAAGAAAAUCGAGAUAAAUAGUGUUCAACUCUUCCAGAAUCACAAAAAUAGUCUCCAACUUUUAUGUACAAAAAGGUGUUCAUUCCCAGUAAAAAUUGCUAGUAUAUGUACAGUCUACCAAACACAACUUUAUCCCCGUCAAAACAACUUUGUAUUCAUCUCAUAGCAUAACAAAAAAAGUGCACGCACACAGAGAUUUCAAAAGCACUGGACUGUGUUAGAGAUACAGAGCGCUUAAAGUUCAGACUGAUAGGUUUCAAAACCGUGCACAACUUCACAGAGUACAGACUAAUUCACACAGACUUAAAAGUCC
Molecule: small RNA, 2337 nt
Filed under: Oryza sativa Japonica Group (Japanese rice)
Lineage: Eukaryota; Viridiplantae; Streptophyta; Magnoliopsida; Poales; Poaceae
Description: misc RNA Os09g0406900
Source: RNAcentral